Long non-coding RNA from Ictalurus punctatus (channel catfish), 1390 nucleotides. The record is from Ensembl. Lineage: Eukaryota; Metazoa; Chordata; Actinopteri; Siluriformes; Ictaluridae.
UGGAGGAGGACGCAGCAGUCUUCAUUAGUAUUCAGAACACCCCCUUAUAGUCCCAUUUCCCCCGUUAUCUCCUCCAGCUGCUGCGAUCUGAUUAGUUAUAUUUAACUGAGUGAAUCACGGAAAUAAGUGAUGUUAAUUGAUGAUAAGCUGAAGGUUUUAUAGUCCAUGUAAUUGUCCAUGAAACUUUUCAAUGGAAGUCGACCCGUAAGCAAACUUUUCAAAACGCAGCUUCACGUCGUUUGAACCUUCCAGACAGCGCGGUGAUUAAACGAGAGGCCGUGCGGUGUUAAAGUGACCCCGAGAUAUACCCAACCCACAAAAAUCCACAUUUCAACAAUAAACCAUUCUUACUGAUGUAACAAAUUCAGAAUUUGGUUUCUCUCCGUUUCGUUUCAGUUUGCAGUUCUGUGAGCUUUAAUCCCUAACAAGAGCCAGGUAACAUCCGGAAGCGUUUCACAACGAUUUGCCUACAAUUAAAAUCCGUACGUUAAUAAUAACAAACAUGUCACACUUUUUGUGUAUUUAGAGUUUAAAUAAACGUUAUCACUCACGUUAUAGCAUCUAUAAACAGUCAUUCGCUCACGUCUUCACGUUAUAGUAUCUAUAAACAGUCAUUCGCUCACGUCCUCACGUUAUAGCAUUUAUAAACAGUCAUUCGCUCACGUCUUCACGUUAUGAUAUCUAUAAACAGUCAUUCGCUCACGUCCUCACGUUAUAGUAUCUAUAAACAGUCAUUCGCUCACGUCCUCACGUUAUAGCAUUUAUAAACAGUCAUUCACUCACGUUAUAGUAUCUAUAAACAGUCAUUUGCUCACGUCCUCACGUUAUAGCAUCUAUAAACAGUCAUUCGCUCACGUCUUCACGUUAUGAUAUCUAUAAACAGUCAUUCGCUCACGUCUUCACGUUAUAGUAUCUAUAAACAGUCAUUCGCUCACGUUAUAGUAUCUAUAAAGUCAUUUGCUCACGUCCUCACGUUAUAGCAUCUAUAAACAGUCAUUCGCUCACGUCCUCACGUUAUAGCAUCUAUAAACAGUCAUUCGCUCACAUCCUCACGUUAUAGCAUCUAUAAACAGUCAUUCGCUCACGUCCUCACGUUAUAGCAUCUAUAAACAGUCAUUUGCUCACGUUAUAGUAUCUAUAAAGUCAUUUGCUCACGUCCUCACGUUCUAGUAUCUAUAAACAGUCAUUCGCUCACGUCCUCACGUUAUAGUAUCUAUAAACAGUCAUUCACACACAUUAUAGCAUCUAUAAAGUCAUUCGCUCACGUCCUCAAGUUAUAGUAUCUAUAAAGUCAUUCGCUCACGUCCUCACGUUCUAGUAUCUAUAAACAGUCAUUCGCUCACGUACUCACGUUAUAGCAUCUAUAAACAGUCAUUCGCUCACGUCCUCA